UGAUCUGAUUUUGGCUCUCUUAGUUGAAGUUUAUGCUUCAUACCUGAGAGUAAAUCGGAUCAUAGCUUGCGGGGACCUUUUUUUAUGGUCAACGCGAAGUGCCGUUUGAUUUCUGUGAUCCCUCUAGCUUUGCUUGGUUGUUGUUCAAGACUUCUAAGCACCCUCAAGUACAAUAGUUGAUGAUAUUUGAUGAUAAUAUUGGUGUAUACUCACAUAGGAAUGGACGAGGCGUUAGUGACUUAAUAACAACGAAAGACUAUUCGUUUAUGUUUUGUUUCAAUUUGUAAUGUAAUGUAAUACAUUUGAUUUAAUAAAACGAAACUAUU
Molecule: long non-coding RNA, 326 nt
Filed under: Helianthus annuus (common sunflower)
Lineage: Eukaryota; Viridiplantae; Streptophyta; Magnoliopsida; Asterales; Asteraceae
Description: hypothetical non coding rna
Source: RNAcentral